CCUACGGGGGGCAGCAGUGGGGAAUAUUGGGCAAUGGGCGCAAGCCUGACCCAGCAACGACGCGUGAAGGAAGAAGGCUUGCGGGUUGUAAACUUCUUUUAUCAGGGACGAAGCAAGUGACGGUACCUGAUGAAUAAGCCACGGCUAACGUCGGGCCAGGCGCCGCGGUAUUACGUAGGUGGCAAGCGUUAUCCGGAUUUACUGGGUGUACAGGGCGUGGAGGCGGGAGUGCACGUAAGAUGGGAAAACUAUGGGCUCAACCCAUAGCCUGCAUUUGAAACUGUACUUCUUGAGUGCUGGGGAGGCAAUCGGAAUGCCGUGGGUAGCGGUGAAAUGCGUAGAUAUACGGAGGAACACCAGUGGCGAAGGCGGAUUGCUGGACAGUAACUGACGCUGAGGCGCGAAAGCGUGGGGAGCAAACAGGAUUAGAUACCCCAGUAGUC
Molecule: ribosomal RNA, 443 nt
Filed under: uncultured bacterium
Lineage: Bacteria
Description: partial 16S ribosomal RNA
Rfam family: Bacterial small subunit ribosomal RNA
Source: RNAcentral